AGACGUGGCUGCAGCGUUCUGCAGACGUGACUUCUGAUCAAAUUCGAACCUCCUAAAGAAACAAAGAGCGACAUUACAUUGCGGGAUGACGUCACCUGAAAAUGACCAAUAGCGCGGCGCGCUGCUGAGCUGUGUGCCAACCGCUCUUUUUUUCAUGCAGGAGACUCAAGUUGGCUUCGCUAACGGACACAGUUUUGAACUCGUAUAUUAGCGCCAUUUAUUGCUGCUUGGACCACAGCAUCUUCGGAAUUUGUAGACAUCCUGGCAGCUUACAAUUAGUUCGAGGUAGUUCAGUCAUCAAGGGGCUACGUGCUUCAUUGUAAACUGCAUCGGAAUGAGCCACGUUGUUUCUUUCGGUGUAUUGAAGCAGGCUGCUAGCAGACAUACACCAGGUAUGGCGCGUUUAAGGCUCAUUUUUACCGAAGACACUCUGCCCCCACCCAUGUCACUGGUGUGGCGGUGGUUUCUUCGUUUACAUGUGCAAUGUGUGAACGUCAGUGUCAGAACUCUCUCUUUAUGAUUAAAAAGGUUUGUUUUGUUCCUGCCCUUUUCAGACACUGAAUUUGAGCAGAAACCAUAAGGAUACUCAAAGGACCUGUGACUCUCAGGAAAUGCAUCAAAUGAGAGGGACAGAUGAAACAGUUUCAAGACAAUGGCAGGAAAAACAUGCUGAAGAUUGAAACAAACCUUGGCUGGAAAUAUUUGAAGGUAUCUAGCCAGUCCACAAUGAAAGCUUCGUUGCACCCCAUGAGUCUUCUGGCAGAAAUGAUGGCGCCUGUAUUCUUUGGUUUCCCUAAACAUCACACCCUGCCUGUUUAUACGAGGCUCUUCAAUUAAGUCUGCACCCAAAGAUUCAAUAAGAGAGGGGAUCCUGCCAGUCCAAAGUGAACUCCUGAUGGACAUUGAAGUACUCCUGCAGAGCUUGUAUCUUCGACACCAUGCGCAUUAGAAACUCCACUGAGUCCUUUCCUUCACCAAGGCAGGACCCAGUGACUCAUUACUGUUGAUAGGUCAGGGGCAGGUAAUAUUUUGUUUCAUGUUUAUUCAUUACUCCAUGGAUUACCAGCCAUAUAUAUGGACACAUGCUGUAUUCUCAAGAUCUAUGCUGUUUUGUAGGAAUAGUGAAAAUGAUAUGUUUAGUCUGUUUUCAAAUGGUAUGUCAAAUUUUCUCAUUGUUUAUCAGUAAUAUUCACUACCUUGGUUAUAUAUGAGCAUCUUUAGAUUUUUCUAUAUUUAGCGGUUGCAAAUGUAAAAUGUACGGUAAACCAUUUAUGUUCCUCAUAUUGUACUGUAUUUUUAGCGGUAAAAUACCGGCAGCUGUGGUUGCCAGGAAUUUACCGUAAAAUGUAUCUGGUCAAAAUAAAAUGCUGUAAUUUGUUA
Oreochromis niloticus (Nile tilapia) is the source of this 1380-nucleotide long non-coding RNA. RefSeq lists it as uncharacterized. The record is from RefSeq and is a predicted model, not a curated record. The transcript is spliced from 5 exons. NCBI's taxonomy places the organism in Eukaryota, Metazoa, Chordata, Actinopteri, Cichliformes, Cichlidae.